GUCCUUGUAUAACAAAAUUAGUCUAAGAAUUUUAGUUGCCUGACCAUAAUUUGCUUGUAAACAACGUAAACAUAAACUUGUUCUGGAAAUGUCGAGUGUCGCUGGUACUGAUAUCGAAAAGAACGAAUACACUCAAUACAGUAAGUUCACGAUAAAGCUCGUGCAUGAAAGAGAUAACGAAUGAUAUCUUUGACAACCUGAAGUAUGUUAACGCAACGCCAUGAAAUCGAAGCUGCGACAAUCGAGAAGCUGCGAAAACCUUUGGAUCUUUUCAGAGAGCUUGAAAAACAAGAUUUUGUCGGGCAUGGAAGACCUAGACGGGCUCUGGAAGUUGCUAGAAAUGUCCAGGAACCAGGUGCAAUUUCAGAAAAUAUCCACAAACUAAAGCAAGAAGAAUUCAAGCAUAGCCUAUCGAAGGGAAGAUGGCUGUGAAACUCAUUAGAAUAACAAUAUAACUGAUUCUCUAUGUUGGUCAACGUUUAUUCAUAAAUCUGGUCCUUUACCGUCACGUGUGUAUUGUAUUCUUGCCCAAUUAACCAAUAGCAAUGUUUUAGGAAAGUCACCUAUCCGUGACUCGAACAACAGGGAAAUUGGAAAUUGCUAUUGGUGGAUUUGGUCAAAAUACAAUACACACGUGACGGUGAAGGACCAGAUUUAUGAAUAAACGUUGACUAACAUCAUGAUGAGUUAUAUUGUUAUUCUAAUGAGUUUUACAGCCAUCUUCCCUUCGAUAGGCUAUGAUUCAAGGACUUUCAAGACUUUAUACGAACCCUAUUACCAGCGUAAUGGCAGAUUUAAAUUCCGGGAAAUAAGAACCAGUUAAAGACCAACUCUGCAUGGCCUCAUUUCUAA
Paramuricea clavata is the source of this 852-nucleotide non-coding RNA. Lineage: Eukaryota; Metazoa; Cnidaria; Anthozoa; Malacalcyonacea; Plexauridae. The record is from the annotation of a GenBank genome assembly.